Molecule: long non-coding RNA, 7754 nt
Organism: Peromyscus californicus insignis
Lineage: Eukaryota; Metazoa; Chordata; Mammalia; Rodentia; Cricetidae
Exons: 3
Source: RefSeq, a predicted model, not a curated record
UGACAGUUUGAGAGGCCUGAGCCCUGCCUCUGAGGCCACACACGUGCUGAGCUGAACAAUCCUGGGACCGCAGGCUGAUUUGGCACCCUCAGACCCCUCUGGCCAUUGCCAGAACACCAAUGGGGACUUGAAGUAUAUCUUCUACUGAUAAGGAAGGACCACUGCUUCUUGCUAAAUUCUCAUAGCAACUGCACAAGUUAAACCUCUCCAGAAACAGCCUCACAGACACAUCCAGAGGUGUAUCUCCCAGGUGACUCCAAGUCCCAUCCAGUUGACAAUGAAGAUUAACAAUCACAGGAAUGAAGCAAAUGAUGCAGACAGCAGAAGCAGGGACAUGGCAAAGGAUCAGGACAUGAGUCCAGGCUGUUUGUCACCCAGGCAGAACUGUCCAGAACACUGUGAAGUGCUGAGUCUCACCACAGUGCUUGGAAUUCUUGUGUCCAGUCUUGUCAGAGGUUCUGCAGAAUGCAGCACAUUUGCAGAAACACCUAGAACUCUGGCGUAAUACCCAAGAUACAUACUGAAUCUUGAGUCUGGUGUGUCUUGUGUUUUUGUCUUCUCUUCUUUGAAGCUUUAGGACAGACGGUCUUUAGUUCCACUUUCUCAGUCUCCACACUGCAUUUACUUGAGGCAAAUACCAUCUAUGACUUGUCUGGACAUGAAGCCAAGUCUUGAGAUGUCAUUUCUGCUGCCCACUGGUCAUGGGACCUGUCUAGUCAUGGCUUAGACUUCCUUUUUCUUUCCAUCAUCCCAUCAUGGAAAAACUAGCCAACCUUCAAGUCUCUUCAUUUAGAGGAGUGAUGUGAAUCUUUGCCUCUCUGCGGUGUUGGAUCAUCAAGGAAGGGAUGUGAGGUACAUCACAAAGCUCCUAGGAAGCUGCCUGCUCCACCCAGAGGCAUAAUGGUAUCUGCUGAUUGUGCCACAGAGGUACCUUCAUGUCCCAGAAUCAGAGUGAGCUUCUGCCAUGGAAGAGACAUCCUUCAUGUGGCCUCAGGGUGAGGGUUGGAGUAUUGGAAUAAAACCCCACUUUGUAACCAAUGAUGUAUCUGAAUUGGAAUCUCAUCUCUGCCACUUCUUAUACCUCUGAUCUGGGACAGCCCUGGACCUCGGUUUUCUCAUCCACCAAUACUGGUGACCAUGGUAACAGUAUCUCUUAUGCUGAAGGAUGAGUUUGACUCACAGAUUUCCUCUAUGCAAAUAUAUUUUGCCAACUAUAAUGGUGAGUAAAUGCUUUGUCACUGUUGUUGAUAAGCUGGGAGGUGGGUGGCAAGUGUCCUAGCAACCCCAUGGGACAUUUCCAGAAAUGUUCUGAGACAGAGCAGAAAGGCUUUGUGAAAGUCAAGUCAUAAACAGUCCCACAAGCAAAGACAGCAGAAAAUAUUGGCCUUUGGGAUUAAGGGUUCCCCCCGCCCCUGCAGAAAAACUGUAAAAGAGUUGUAGAAAGAUGAGUAGGGGGAACAAAUGGGACAUUUUCCCAGCUGGGCAGAAGGGACGCUGAUUGAGUACAAUCAAUGCCACCAGCCUGCUAACGAGACCCAAUCAGGCGGGGCGAUUAGAGAUAUUCUUCAAGGAAAGAGACAGCUGCAGGAAACUUUCCAGAUUUCUAGAGGGGAGAAAACUGGAGAGCUAGAGUGCUGAGGCGGAAAGAUGAUGGGAGGGAAAUGGAAUCAGCAAAGCUGGCGUUCCCACCCCACCCAUCCAUGAAGUCAAAAAGGGAGAAGGUGGGGGCCCUGCUGCCUUCUCCACUUUUUCAGAUGUUAUCCUGUUCAUAGUCACUUGCUCUCAUUUCCUUCCUCCUGCUGGACCAGGGUAGCAGGACUUCCCUGCAUCUUGCCCGAGACAGACAGCACUUAAGCACCUCACAAGGGUUCCAGCUAACAACUGCCAAGCCCAUCACGGGCUCCAAAGCUUCCUCAUACACUAGAUCCUUUGGCCUCACAGAACCCCGCGGAGGCAGGGAUUUUCAAUAUCUUCCACGUUUGAAGGGUGAGUUUAAUGUAGCUCACUUCAAUACAAAUUUACUGAGCAUCAAUUUUGCACUUAGCAUUUAUGGUAGUGUUGAAUUAUAUAGUGUCUGCUCUCGGGGAGCUCCUCGUCUGGUGAGGAAGGCAUAGUUCAGUUCAGUAGUGUGUGGUAGCCCUUCCUUUCAGUGGUAUUGCAACCAAUGCAUGGAGGGGGAAUCAUUCAUUUUAAAAAGUCAUUUUGCAAAAUAUCAAAACGUCAUUGAUUCGUGCACGAAUCAGUCAAUAGAUACUAAAGCCACUGAGUGCAAAUUGGAUGAUGACUAGAGUAUUUACGAUCACAAAGUGCAGAAGUCAAACUAUCUCCCCAUAGAUUACUAAUUCAUCACCCAGAGGAAAACAGUAAACUUAUAAGAAAGUUUGGAAGACAAUGCAUAGCAAAGUAAAGGAUGUCAAGGGUAGGGGGAACUGAUUUCCACAUGCUUCUCAAUGUGACAGACUAAAGCGCAUAACACAAUCUGUGCAGUUCUGCAGCUGAAAUUACCUGUGAGGAAACCCUGACACAUAACCACACCAAGAGGCAUACAACAACUGACAUGGGAAGUCAUCAAUGUUGUCAAAGACUAAAGUUGAGAAACUAUCCCAUAUGAAGAGACUGGAGUGAUACCAUGGCUAAAGGCAACACAGGCCACCACAUCAAACCCUAUAUCAGGAAAAGAAUUUUCUGCCCAUCUUAGUUACCUCCUUAUUAUAGUUAUAAUCACCUUGACCAAAGCAACUUCAGGAGAACAGGCUUGCUCUGGCUCCAAGUUCAAAGCACAGUUCAUCAUGGUGGGGAAGUCAAGGCGGUAGAAGCAGCUGCUCACAUUGUGUGCACAACCAAGAGCAGAGAGUGGUAAGUGCUUGCACAAUGCUCAACUCAUUUUCCCCACUUUAGAUAGUCCAGGAGCUCCUGUCCAGGGAAUGGAUCUGUCCCCAGUGACCCACUCUCUCCAGUGAGACUCCACUUCCUAAAGGUUCCACACCAUAGUGCCAACAGCUGGGGACCAAGAGUUCAAACACAAGAGACUAUGGGGGCAUUGCACAUUUAAACCACAAUACCAUGGGACAUUUAGAGGAUAAUCUGGCAAACUUUAAGUAUAGACUACAUAAUAGUAGACUCAUGCUUCGAGUGAAUUAGAUGAAUGUGUUGCAGAAUACAGCUACCUGUUCAACACCUGCACAUGGGUGUAUAAAAGCCUGCUUACACUCAACUCUUCAUCCUGUAACUAUCGGAUUUCCCACGUUGACCAGCGUCACCACCACCUGCCUAAUGCUCAGUCAAAAUGCCUAUAAGGCAUGGUUGAUACUUUUUCUGUUAUCCUGAGAGCCUGCCACCAAUUCCUUAAUGACUUUAUCUUCAAAUUUUAUUACACAUGGAUUCACUCCUUUACAUCUCCACUGCCACCACUCUGGUCCAAGUCAUAUAGUCUCACAAAAGGACCACAACAAUAAUCUCUUCAAUUUCUCCCACAAGAUACCAUUAACAUCCGGGCUAAAGAAAAUGCAUAUCAAUACAGUAAUUACUUGUCCUAAAACUCUCAAAAGCUCUCUUUAACCUUAGAAUGAAAUCCUGGAAGUGUCUACCUUUCCCAAAAGGAAGCUUCAUGCCCUAUAUCCUCAAGACUAAAUUCUGAAAUCCAAAUCCAGAGUAACCUCAUACAAGUGGCUAAAAUACAGCACAAAAUGUAUUCUCACAUUUCAGGGUAUCUCCUGAUAAGAUUAGGAGAGCAGAUGGGAAGACACAUGAUGCUGAGAACGGAAAUAAAGGUAUAUAGGCAGAACAUAAUUCAUCUGAGGACUUUAUGCCUCUAAAUUUUGUAGUCUUCUUAGUACGCUGUGCAGAAUCUAUAGGAGUCCUACUAAGCUUGACUAGGGUCCUCCCACAUUCUUAGAGGUCCUAUUAUGAGUUUCUCUAAGAUGGCACUUCCAACUCGCCUAUAUAUCCAUCCCUGUCAACACUACUUUUAGAUCUAUAGCCUAGACUCAAGUCUCAACCCAUCCCAAAGGCCAAAGAGACAAAAUGAGUUGUGAGACAGUUAUUACACAUUUUUAAAGCUAUAGUAAUUUUCCAAUAUACACAAAUAGGAGUCUGGGGAAUAUUUGCAGAAGCAGAUAUUCCAACAGUGGGACCAGGGUGGAAGGAUUUAAAGGUGAAUCAGGCUAAACUUAUUGAUGAGGUUCCACCAAGCAGGUAGUCUAGAUUCAAGUUUAGCUUAAUGGGCUAGAAAGGGUUUUAAUUGUUGGUUUACUGGGUAGGUGAUUAUGUGAGUUGGUGAGUUGUUCAGUUAGUUCGUUGACUGGUUGAAAUGUGGAUCCAAAUAUGGCCUAGAGCAGUUGAAGGUAAGAUGUCAAAAUUGCCUUGGUAUAUUACAGGGGAAGAUAUCCAAAUACAUGAGGAAAUUUAUCAUGUCCGAUCUAUUUACCUACCCCAGAAGGAUAUAUAAUACAUAAUUCUCUAUACAUAUAAUAUAUAUUUCUAAAACUGUCAGAAAUGAGUGUAUGAGGGGAGUGAUAGCUCUUCAAAGAGUUCAUUGGUCACUCUUUACAGUAGACACUGAUACUCCUGGACUGAGAUCCCUAAGUGCAAUGGGUGUCAUGGGACCGUGGGUGGCACAGACCAUGCGGUACCACUUAAUUACCAAAGACCAGGUGGAAAUGGUGACUGCAAUAGGCAACAGAGUUUGACUUCAGAGAUCCAUGACAUUACCUUAGAAAAGAAACAGACCUGUAGGACUAAACUGUUACAUGAUCCUAUGGACAGACUUUUAAGACGAGGGAGGAGAUCUCUUACUUUAAUUGUACAGAUAGUCAUGGGCCCUUAAUCAUUUCAUUUUUCGAGCCUUGAGAGCCAGUUUAUAGACUCAGGACUCUGAAUGAAAGAGAAGAACCAAGGUAUCUUUAAGGAAAGAUCCUUACAGUUGUCCAAAAAUGCAUUGUGCUGAUCUUUCUCCCAGCAUUCUCUGUAAGGAUACACAGCCUUUUACCAAGGGAGGUGUGACUGAGGAAAGAGAAACAAAUAAUCAUAGUGUUUAGGGGUUUGGGAGUAUUGGUUCUGAACUGACACUCAUUUUCAGUGAACCAAAAAUGUCACUAUAGUUAACUAGUCAAGGCAAGAUCUUAUGGAAGCCAGAUAACUGAUCAAAUCUGAGCACCAGGCCAUCUCUCUGUGGGUCCAGUCAACCCCUGAACUGGUCUUAUAGUUAUUUUCCCAGUUCUGGGAUUUGCAAUUGAAACAGACAUACCCAGGAGCUGGCAGAAUGCCUACAAUGCUUCCCUGUCUUGUGGAGGGAAGAAUAUCAUGGUGGGAAAGGUCAAGUGGAAGCUACUAGAACUGCAUCUCCCUUUAGAAGCAGUAAAUCAAGAGUCGUCAGCAUUUCUGGAGGAAGUCCAAGACUAAUGCUAUAGGGGAGAGAGAGAUGCCUCUCACCCAUCGCAAGGGUCAUGCCAACACCCUGUAACAAAACAGAGCAACAGGAAAGGCUAGCAAUCCAUGUAACCAAAAUAGUACUGAACACGAGAGCCCUCGGAAGUAAAAAUCUAAAGGCCUUGAGAAAAUUGGGUAUGUUUAUAUAAAAUCUCACGAAACAAGCAAUAGGCACUAGAGUUUGACAACUGAACAAAAGUACGGUAAGGACUAAUGGUACUAACAGGGCACGAGGGACAGAUCUUAUUUCCUUUUCCUGCUGCUGUCAUGAAAUACUCUGAUGGAAGGAACUUAAGAGCAAAAGAAUGAUUCUGGACGAUAGCCGGUCGUGAUAGGGCAGUCUAAGCAGCUGGACUUGAAGCUUACAUCCCACCCAUGAUCUGGAAGCAUAGAACAGUGUUCGCUGCUGCUCAGUUUCUGUCUUUCCUUUAUCCAGUCCAGGAUUCCAGGUAGGGAAUAAUUCCAUCCACAGUAGGCAGGUCUUGCCAUCUCAAUUAACUCAGUCAAGACAAUCCCUCAAAGGCAUGCAUGCUCAGAGGUGAUUCUUAGACUCUGUCAAAUCAACAACACCAACCAUGGCCCUAGGUAUAAAGCAAAGCCCUUCUGGAAUGGGUUCUUAUGACUUACUUCAAGUGAGAUGAGUCAAAGAACUCCCUUAUGGCCAUGCUUCAGGGGAGAACUAUGAGGGAGGGUCAGGGGCGACCCCUGAAGCCUGUACUUUCUCCUUCUGACAUACUGCUUUGUAGGUUACCUUGUUCUAAGGCACAAAGGAUGCAGGUGCUUCCCACCAGAGUUCUGUUUAACUUACCUAUUCAAUACACAGAGGGAUCUUAGAGAAUGGCAAUGGGUCAUCACAGGUAUCUAUGCUUGGUUUAUGGAGUCAGUUAGAUGGCAAUUUCAUGAAGAGCUGGGCCAAGCAAGGUUCAUCAGAAGGCUGUGCUCUAAACCAAAGCCUAAUAAAUGGUGGUGUCCUCCCUCUAAUCAAGAUCCAUGUACAUGGGAAUCAGGGAGUGAAAGUGGGAGUGUUUUCAUUAGCCGUUACACUCUGAGCUGUGUCAAAAUGUCUGUUUCUCAACCCUGUAACUUUAGCUCUGGUGGCCUAGAGGUCUUACAUCUGAAGGGAACAAUGCUUCUCAAGUGAAGAAAAUACUGAUUCCAUUGCUAACAACUGCUAUACAACCUCAUAUCUCUGAACCAACAGAAGGAGAAUAUGCAAAUGUCAUAGCCCAAAUGAUCAAUCUUAAUUACCAAGUGGAACCUGGGUUGUUGAUAUACAACAGAGAUAAGAAAAAGUGCAUCUGGAAGACAGGAGCCUAACAGGGCCUCUCUUAGCACAUUCAUGCCCUAUGAUUUAAGUCAAUGGAAAACUACAACUUAAUUCAGGAGGGUUGCUAAGGACACAAACCCUUCAGAAAUGAAAUCUUGAGUUGCCUUGCUAGUGAAGAUACUCACUGAAGGCAAAGGAAUAUGGACUGGGUAGUGGGAGGAGGUAGGUGUAGAUACCAGCUGUGCCCUUAGGACAUUACAAAGAUUAUGAUGGUUAUAAGUAUGUCUUUCUAAUUGUAUAAUGGGUACAGGCAAAUAUUGAAACUGGUUAUGAAAGAGAGAGAGAGAGAUUACUUUGUUAGGUGGCUUAGUAUUGUUCAAAUAUUGUAGAUUAUACCUAUAUAAACUAAGAUGUUUACAAUAUAGUGAUAUAAACUUUUGGGACCACCAGCAUAUGCACAAUUUGUUGGCCUAAAGAUUAUCAUCUGUCAUAUGACUAUAUUCCAGAAAUAAAGCUGCAACUAGGAGAACUGAAAAAGCUUCCACCAACAACAGUGAUUAUUUAUAGUGUUUGAGUUGACAGUUAUGUUCCUUUGUCAAUUGACCUAUCUUGGUCCUAUGAAAACCUAGUUGAUUGUGAUAGGUGAUGAUGAACUACUCCAAGCUUAACUAGAUGGUAGCCCUGAUUACAGCUGAUGAGGCCCAUGUAGUCUCUGUACAUGAUUAUGAACUCACCUUGGAAUAUAACUAAAAACCUGGUCAACAGAUUUUUGAUCCCAUUAGUAGGAAAGGGAUUUAAAAUUUGCACUUACAUGGUAAAGGCAGCAAUGCACCCACACAGUCUUUUCCAAGAGCUACAUUGUACACAGGACCUCGACACUCUACAGGUUGUUAAGGGGUCCAGUGUAACGAUUGUAUUGCUGUGCUGAAGUAGAAAUUACCCUUAAAAAUUGUUUUUCAAACAUUCUGUAAAGUGUAAGAGAUUUUUUUUUCCAGUUUAUUACAAACUGAUUCUUAGAUUUUGUGUCAUUCUUCACUUAUAACUAAAUACAAGGUUAUGG